UACGUAGGGACCGAGCGUUGUCCGGAAUCAUUGGGCGUAAAGAGCGUGUAGGCGGCCACUUAAGUCCUGCGUGAAAUCUUGCGGCUCAACCGCAAGCGGUCGUGGGAAACUGGGUGGCUAGAGUGCGGGAGAGGAGAGUGGAAUUCCUGGUGUAGCGGUGGAAUGCGCAGAUAUCAGGAAGAACACCAACGGCGAAGGCAGCUCGCUGGGACGGAACUGACGCUGAGGAGCGAAAGCAUGGGGAGCGAACAGG
This 253-nucleotide ribosomal RNA is filed under the name uncultured bacterium. Its description in RNAcentral is "partial 16S ribosomal RNA". It matches the Rfam family "Bacterial small subunit ribosomal RNA", at positions 524 to 776 of the family's 1533-position model. The record is from RNAcentral.